GCUGAAGUGGAUGGAAUAGGCAGACACGGCGGAUUCAAAAUCCGUUGCCGCAAGGCGUGUGGGUUCAAAUCCCACCUUCAGCA
RNAcentral lists this transfer RNA (83 nucleotides) under Caudoviricetes sp. RNAcentral describes it as "tRNA-Leu". It matches the Rfam family "tRNA". Rfam says of the family: Transfer RNA (tRNA) molecules are approximately 80 nucleotides in length. Their secondary structure includes four short double-helical elements and three loops (D, anti-codon, and T loops). Lineage: Duplodnaviria; Heunggongvirae; Uroviricota; Caudoviricetes. The record is from RNAcentral.